RNAcentral lists this long non-coding RNA (672 nucleotides) under Phoenix dactylifera (date palm). Its description in RNAcentral is "long non-coding RNA (PDAC_LNC019651)". Lineage: Eukaryota; Viridiplantae; Streptophyta; Magnoliopsida; Arecales; Arecaceae. The record is from RNAcentral.
GUAAUGGCCAGCUGCCAAAAUACAUCGUAAGACAAGAAAACUAGUCAGGUACAUAACACCAAGCAGCCAGCAUAAAGAAGGUCAAAGGUGACCACUUGGUCCACAUUAUAUUGGCAUCUAUUCCAUCACUUCAAGAAAGAGGGAAAGGUACACAGAAAAAAAUAAGUAAACAUUUAAUAACCCUCAAACUUUUAUGUAACCAUCUCAAACGAGAAUAAUUAUUUGUUACAGUUUUGAAAUGGUACAAAACUUUAUAUCAUGCACAUCACCAGCAACGAUCUCCAUACAAUUGUCAGAAAAAAAAUGAAACCCAUGACAGAACAUAAAGGAUGUUGCAUGAAAAACUGUAGCCAUCAAUGGGAAUCUGUAGCCAUCAUUCUUAGCCAAAAAAAAAAAAAAAACUGUAGCCAUCAAUAGGAAGCUGGCAACACGGAACUGCGAGUUCUUGCUUGCCAGGCUUCAUACACCAAGUCCAUGCAAAGCAGUGAUACACCGAGCAGGUGGAAUGCAAGUCAAGACUCUGGUCUGGACUCUGUUUCUAGCCUCUGACGGAUGUUACGGCGCAACAUCUCCAUGUACUCCUGCAAAAUUAUAUUUCUUUGGUUUGAGUCCAAGAGGCUAACGAAAACAAAUGAUGCAAAGAUCUUUUCCCGCUUCACGUUUUUGGAAACA